This 28-nucleotide ribosomal RNA is filed under the name Meloidogyne arenaria. Lineage: Eukaryota; Metazoa; Nematoda; Chromadorea; Rhabditida; Meloidogynidae. The record is from RNAcentral.
AUUCCCAGGACGUCUCCGUUCCAAGUAC